AUAUGAUAACGAUUUUAAAUGAAAAAUAUUAAAAAAUCACAAAUUAAUUGAUACAAACUAAUCAAACUUUAAACAAAGAUGUAAAUAUAUUGUUAAUAUAUAUAAAAUUCGGGUUGGGUUGGGUCAAUCUAAAUUUUUGUUAGCCAACCCACGACCCAACCUAACCCAACAAAAAUAGAAUAAGUCGAACCGAACCCAACCCAAGAACAGGUUAUUUGAACACCCCUACCUUCCCUUAAUAAAUAAAUUAAAUAGGGCCGAUGGAGCUAUUCUCGAACCAAACCUCAUUUAUUCACCAUAUUUUUCAUUUAAAAUAAGAAAAAUAUUUAAGUACAUUUCAGGCUGGUCUAUCCUAAUUAUCCAAUCAUAAUUUAUCACAAGAUUUUUUUUACUUCUUUUUUAAAAUAUUUUUAUUCAUUAGUUGUGUUAAUUGUUAUUGUUAUAAUUGUUGUUGAGUGGUUAUAAUUUUGUAGGCUUAGUUUACAGAUUUUAUGUACUUAUUUUUAGUGUACUCGUGUAUUUUACCAAUUAGAUAUUAAAAAAUAUAGGGAUAUACCAAAUAGUUUUAUACGGUAUCAGAAUUUUACCGCCUUUCCCGUCCCACUAUCGCCACCAUGCACCAGCCAUUCAGAUCCAGCCGACAGCUUCAGACCCAGCCAAUGAAAGCACCUCCGUACGCUUCUAUAGUUGUCCCACUAUCGGCGUCGUGCACCAAUCAUUCAUAUCUAGCCGAAUCUGAUCCGUGAAACUCACUAGCCAUUCAGAUCUGGAAACCGCUCUCGGAUCCAGGCAAUGAAGUUGCCUCCGUCCUACCAGACUUCAGGUCACCAUCGACCCUGUUCGCCGUCGGCCCUGUUUAGCUUUCCACUGUUGUCUCGUUCUGCCUUCCGAUCACAACGGGUCUCGCUCGGUAGUUAGUCCACCCAACGCGUCAAAUUCUGAUCCACGUACGCUUUAGAUCUGAGGAAAAGCCACCGAGCCAACUGAGACGUGCCUCUCCGUGCCGAGCUGAGCCAUAAUUUGAGUCCAACCAUUUUUUGGAGUCAUAUUUCUUUUGCAUCUGUUUGUCUCCAUUUAGUUGCUAUUCUAACGAAGAAAUUGAUCUUUUUCGUCCUAUUAGCACUGUGUUGGACAACACCAGCUACAUCAUGUGGGCCUAUCAAAUGAAGAGGUUCUUGAUUGGGUGAAAGUUGUGGUGGAUUAUUAUCGGAGAUGUCACUCAACUUGUCCAAAGUAUCACUGAAGAAGAUAACAAGUUUAUUGAGAGGUUAAAGGAUUGGGAUAGCAAAAAUCACUAGAUAAUCACCUGGUUGAGUAACACUUCCACUCCGACCAUUUGUACCCAAUUUGAUGCAUUCCGCAUAAUUAGAGAGUUUUGGGAUUUUUGUCUACAUGGUUCCAAACCAUUGGUCUAGCUCACUAUUAUCAGUUGUACUCUACCCUAGUCAGCACCAAUUAGGAGGCGGGACAAUCCAUGAAUGAGUACCUGGCUAUUCUUUAACCCAUUUAAACUCUGUUAGAUCAGGCCAAAAUUAGCUUAGAUCAUCUGCUACUCAUCAAGGUUCUUAUGGGGUUCCGACCAGAAUAUGAAUUUGUUCGUGUUACCUUAUUGUAUCGUAAUCCCUUGCCAUCUCUUGAUGCUACAAUUCAAGAAAUCCUCUUUGAAGAAAAAGGCUUAGGUAUUGCCACAAACGUGGUCACAUUUUGGAUAGUUGUCCUACCAGACUGCUUUGCUCCCCCAGUUAUACUAAUAAGUCAAAGAAUUCUACCACGUUUGGCUUUCUACUUGUUGUUGCUGUUGCAACGUCUACUGAUGUGACAUCUUCCAUCCCUCAAAGUCUCCAGAUCAGUGAUUUUUGGGAUUUGCUCAAACAAGUGUUUUCUUCUAGUGCACCUACUCUACUGUCAUACUAGGUACAUCUUAGCUCAUUGAUUCGGCUUAUUGCAAUCAUAUGACCUCCAACAUUGCUCUAUUAUUUUCCUAUACCCCUGUCAAAUCACUUCCUCCCAUUCACUCCACUGACGGUAACCAUAUGACCAUUUCUCGAAUCGGUUCAAGAUCCACGGACGGGUUAGACAAUUGGUAUGGGUCACAAGGUAGGAAGAUUAUUUGAGCUCACAGUCUUUCAGCCAUUAGUUCCCCCACUUCUUUUUGUUGCUGUAACUGAUGCUGGUACAUUUCAGUGGCAUCUGCAUCUUGGUCAUGCAUCAUCUGACAAGAUUCAUAAUUUAAUUUCUAUUGGUAGUUUGAAUAAUUUUUCGCUAUUCAAUUCGUUUUGUUGUUUACAUUGCAAACUUACAAAGCAACUUGCUCUAUCGUUUUCUGCUUGUGGCUCACUAUGUGAUACUCCAUUUGGUUUGGUUCAUUAUGAUAUAUGGGGUCCUGCGCCUACUUCUACUGUCAAUGGUUUUCGAUAUUUUGUGUUAUUUAUUGAUGAUUACUUUCAUUUUACCUGGAUUUACUUUAUGAAACAUCACUUUUCCUUUACCCAAGUCUACAUUGAGUUUUCCAAAAUGGUCUACACUUAGUUUUCGCACACUAUCAAAGUUCUUCGCACCGAUAAUGCAAUGGAGUAUAAGAACUCCCACCUACUUUCUUUCCUCACCUAACAAGGCACUCUUAUCCAACGUUAGUGCCCUUAUACUUCCCAGCAAAAUGGUCGAGCUGAGCAAAAACAUUGUCAUAUCCUGGAUUUUGUCCAUGCUCAGCUUCUCUCUAUGUCUUGCCUUGAGAAGUUUUUGGGUGAGGCUGCCCUUACGUCUGCUUAUGUCAUUAAUUGCCUGCCCUUCACGACUGUUCACAAUCUGUCUCCUGUUGAAUGGUUGUAUGGUACUCUCUCAUUCUUACUCUCAUAUUAAAGUCUUUCAGUGUGUGUAUUUGCCCUUCUCCAUCCUCAUGAACAUACCAAACUCAAACCCAGAGCUCGUCUAUGUUAUUUUCUUAGUUAUGAAAUUGAGAUGAUGGGAUUCUAUUUCUAAAAGGCUUCAUAUCUCUCGUCAUGUCAUGUUUUGAGAACAUCGUAUAUUCUCUAGUAUAUCUUCUUUUCAUACUUCUCUCACUAGCCCCCAUCCAUUCUUCACUGAUCCCUCUAUUGAUCUCUUCCCUAUACGUGUUUCUUUGCCUUACUUUUUCUCUCUGUCUGUUCUUGAGCUUGAUUCAUCUUCUUCUACUGAUAUGCUCCCAGAUUUUCCUUCUACCCCCGAUGCGGAAUUAGAACCUAUAUCUGUCAUGUCUUUGGUUGAACCUUCCUUUUAUCAGGAAACCUAUACUAACCCUUGUUGGCAACAAACGAUGAAUGAGGAACUUCAAGCUUUGGAGAAAAUGCAUAUCUAGGAUUUUGUUGACUUACCUCUUGGUAAGAAGCCUAUCAGGUGUAAGUGCAUUUAUUAGAUCAAGACUCGCUCUGAUAGGUCUAUUGAAUGGCAUAAGGCUCGUCUGGUAGCUAAAGGGUAUUCCCAGAAGUAUGGUAUUGACUAUGUAGAAACUUUUAUUCCCAUUGCCCGAAUGACAUCUGUUCGAAGCUUGUUAGUCAUAGCUGCUGCUAAAUAGUGGCUCAUUCUUCAAAUGGAUGUUAAGAAUGAUUUUCUUAAUGACAAUCUAUUUAAAGAAGUUUACAUGAAGCCACUGCCUAGUAUUUCUUCUCCAUCUCAUAAAGUAUGUCUUCUUCGACGUGCUUUGUAUGGACUUAAACAAGCGCCCCGUGUCUGGUUUGCAACCUUCAGUGCCAUUGUCACCUAACUUGGAUUUGUCUCAAAUGCUCAUGACUUAGCUCUCUUUACAUGGCGUUGUUCUUCGGCUAUUGUAUGUGGAUGACAUGAUUAUCACUGGUAAUGAUUCUCAUGCUAUAUCGGAUUUACAAUGCUAUCUAGGAGAAUACUUUGAGAUGAAAGAUUUGGACCUUCUCAGUUAUUUUCUUGGUUUUCAAAUCUCAUCAUGUUUUGAAGGGUAUAAUUUAUCUUAUGCAAAAUAUGUGUAUGACCUUUUGGCGCAUUCUGGUAUCACUGAUGUUAUCAUUGCACCAACACCAUUGGGCUCCAAUGUCCGCCUUACCUCUUUUGAUGGUGUUCCUCUCAAGGAUCACACUUUGUAUCGGCAACUUGUUGGCAAUCUCAUCUACAUAACCGUGACAUACCUAGACAUUGCCUAUGAGGUUCAUGUGGUUAGUUAAUUCAUGUCUACUUUUCGCACUAUUCAUUUCGCUGUUGUUUUUUGUAUUUUGCGAUAAAGGCACCAUGGGACAUGGGCUUUAGUUCUCUUCUCCGUCUUCCUUGGUUCUCUCUGGCUAUAUUGAUGCUGACUAGGUUGGUGAUCUUACUCAUUGACAGUCCACCACAGGUUACUAUUUUUAUUUGAAUGAUUCUCUCAUCUCCUGGUAAAGUAAGAAACAAAUUGUUGUUUCUCGUUCUAGCACAGAGUCGGAAUAUCGGGAACUUGUUAAUGCUACUUCUGAAGUCUUAUGGUUUCGCCGACUUCUGGCUGAUAUGGGAGCUCCCCAGGUCUCAUCCACUAUUCUUCGUUGUGAAAAUCAUAGUGCUAUUCAGAUUGCGCAUAUUGAUGUGUUUCAUGAACUAAUGAAGCAUAUUGAGACUAAUUGCCACUUUGGUCAUCAUCAUCUUCAAAGCUCCACCUUGUGCCUUCAAGACAUAUCUACGACUGAACAACCAAUUGAUAUCUUCACUAAAGCACUCUCUCCUACACGUUUUGGUUAGUUAUCUUGAAAACUCAAGUUGGUCUCUACUCUACCAUCUUGAGUUUGAGGGGAGAUGUUAAUUGUUAUUGUUAUAAUUGUUAUGGGAGUUGUUGGAUGGUUACACUUUUGUAAGCUUAGUUUAAGAAUUUUAUGUACCUAUUUUUAGGUAGUCUUUUGUAUAUAUAUAAAUACAUGUGUAUUUUACCAAUUAGAUAUAAAAUGUAGUGAUAUAGUUUUAUAAUUUGUUGUGUAAUGAAUGUAA
Benincasa hispida (wax gourd) is the source of this 4953-nucleotide RNA transcript. RefSeq lists it as uncharacterized. The record is from RefSeq and is a predicted model, not a curated record. NCBI's taxonomy places the organism in Eukaryota, Viridiplantae, Streptophyta, Magnoliopsida, Cucurbitales, Cucurbitaceae.